Molecule: ribosomal RNA, 433 nt
Filed under: uncultured bacterium
Lineage: Bacteria
Description: partial 16S ribosomal RNA
Rfam family: Bacterial small subunit ribosomal RNA
Source: RNAcentral
AACGAGCGCUGGCGGCAGGCCUAACACAUGCAAGUCGAGCGAGGACUUCGGUCCUAGCGGCGGACGGGUGAGUAACGCGUGGGAACGUGCCCUUUGCUCCGGAAUAGCCCUGGGAAACUGGGAGUAAUACCGGAUGAGCCCUUUGGGGGAAAGAUUUAUCGGCGAAGGAUCGGCCCGCGUUGGAUUAGGUAGUUGGUGGGGUAAUGACCUACCAAGCCGACGAUCCAUAGCUGGUUUGAGAGGAUGAUCAGCCACACUGGGACUGAGACACGGCCCAGACUCCUACGGGAGGCAGCAGUGGGGAAUCUUAGACAAUGGGGGAAACCCUGAUCUAGCCAUGCCGCGUGAGCGAUGAAGGCCUUAGGGUUGUAAAGCUCUUUCAGCUGGGAAGAUAAUGACGGUACCAGCAGAAGAAGCCCCGGCUAACUCCGUG